Molecule: ribosomal RNA, 878 nt
Filed under: uncultured bacterium
Lineage: Bacteria
Description: bacterial SSU rRNA
Rfam family: Bacterial small subunit ribosomal RNA
Source: RNAcentral
AGAGUUUGAUCCUGGCUCAGGAUGAACGCUGGCGGCGUGCCUAACACAUGCAAGUCGAGCGAUUCUCUUCGGAGAAGAGCGGCGGACGGGUGAGUAACGCGUGGGUAACCUGCCCUGUACACACGGAUAACAUACCGAAAGGUAUGCUAAUACGAGAUAAUAUGCUUUUAUCGCAUGGUAGAAGUAUCAAAGCUUUUGCGGUACAGGAUGGACCCGCGUCUGAUUAGCUAGUUGGUAAGGUAACGGCUUACCAAGGCGACGAUCAGUAGCCGACCUGAGAGGGUGAUCGGCCACAUUGGAACUGAGACACGGUCCAAACUCCUACGGGAGGCAGCAGUGGGGAAUAUUGCACAAUGGGCGAAAGCCUGAUGCAGCAACGCCGCGUGAGCGAUGAAGGCCUUCGGGUCGUAAAGCUCUGUCCUCAAGGAAGAUAAUGACGGUACUUGAGGAGGAAGCCCCGGCUAACUACGUGCCAGCAGCCGCGGUAAUACGUAGGGGGCUAGCGUUAUCCGGAAUUACUGGGCGUAAAGGGUGCGUAGGUGGUUUCUUAAGUCAGAGGUGAAAGGCUACGGCUCAACCGUAGUAAGCCUUUGAAACUGGGAAACUUGGGUGCAGGAGAGGAGAGUGGAAUUCCUAGUGUAGCGGUGAAAUGCGUAGAUAUUAGGAGGAACACCAGUUGCGAAGGCGGCUCUCUGGACUGUAACUGACACUGAGGCACGAAAGCGUGGGGAGCAAACAGGAUUAGAUACCCUGGUAGUCCACGCCGUAAACGAUGAGUACUAGCUGUCGGAGGUUACCCCCUUCGGUGGCGCAGCUAACGCAUUAAGUACUCCGCCUGGGAAGUACGCUCGCAAGAGUGAAACUCAAAGGAAUUGACG